RNAcentral lists this ribosomal RNA (515 nucleotides) under bacterium A3T_VP8_F1. Its description in RNAcentral is "bacterial SSU rRNA". It matches the Rfam family "Bacterial small subunit ribosomal RNA", at positions 337 to 842 of the family's 1533-position model. The record is from RNAcentral.
ACCUUAAGGGGGCNGCCGUNGGGAAUCUUCCGCAAUGGACGAAAGUCUGACGGAGCAACGCCGCGUGAACGAUGAAGGCCUUCGGGUCGUAAAGUUCUGUUGUUAGGGAAGAACAAGUACCAAAGUAACUGCUGGUACCUUGACGGUACCUAACCAGAAAGCCACGGGUAACUACGUGCCAGCCGCCGCGGUAAUACGUAGGUGGCAAGCGUUGCCCGGAAUUAUUGGGCGUAAAGCGCGCGCAGGUGGUUUCUUAAGUCUGAAUGAAAAGCCCACGGCUCCACCGUGGAGGGUCAUUGGAAACUGGGGAACUUGAAUGCAAAAAGGAAAAGGGGAAAUCCAAGUGUAGCGGUGAAAAGCUAAAAAAAUUGGAGGAACACCAGUGGCAAAGGCAAAUUUCUGGGCUGGAACUGACCAUGAAGCGCGAAAGCCUGGGAAGCGAAAAGGAUUAGAAACCCCGGUCAGACACCCCCCUAAACAAGAAGGCUAAAUGGUAAAAGGGUUUCCGCCCUUUA